Molecule: non-coding RNA, 1117 nt
Organism: Drosophila suzukii
Lineage: Eukaryota; Metazoa; Arthropoda; Insecta; Diptera; Drosophilidae
Source: RefSeq, a predicted model, not a curated record
CUUAGACUUUCAGAAAGAAAGGAGCUCGGUAUUACAUUUAAAAAAGGAGAUCGUAUAAUUUCUAAAAAUAUAGGCAACUUUACCUUUCUAUGAAGUGUGCUAGUGCACGUGGACAUUAUCAAUAUGAUUGAAACUGUCUGUACCAAUAGGACACAAUAUUUGGAAAAUAGUGGAAAACAUAAAAAAGGAAACUCACUCAACCAAAAACGGAUUAAGUGGAUGGCGGGGAAGGCAGCAAAAAACGCCGGCCAAGAGGUGCAAAAACUUGACCAGGCCAACAACGAUGGCUGGUGGGGAAUUAUUAUGCAGCAGCAAUUACUCGCCAAUUGUCGUCGCAAUGAGAUUGUAGAGAACGGGAACAAAAGAAGAAAAAGCUGUUCGAAAAGGCGAUAAUCCAGUCGGGAACGAUGGACGUGGACGGCGAGGAUCGCAUCGGGUCGGAUCGCAAUGAUCAAACGCAAUGCCUGGAUCUGGGAUCUUGGAUCUUGGCCAGCUCAACGGUUUCUGGCCCGGCCGGUUAUGACCAAAUGCAGAGGAUCAGCAGUCGCCCCCUGCGAUUAUUUUUAUUAUAAUUGCGCGUUUAUUGGCGUGAGGAUAUGUUGCCACUCGAAUCCGUGGGGACACCACACAGUGCAGCCGCAUCGACUACACUACUGCUAAUGACGACGACACCUCGGACGGAACCACACUGGCCCCCUGAUUCCAUCCUAUCUCUGGAUACUGGACAAUUCGAAAACAUCCCACUAAUUUUUCCAUAUAUGUCCAAAGUGGUACACAAACGGCAAACGGCAAAUCGGCUUUGAUUUGUGUGGCAAACUUGGCGCUUGUUGUACAGCAUUUUUCCGUCUCUUAAACGCAGCAUUUUCCUCUGCAUUUGUUGCUCUUUAGUUUAUUGAGUUUAUAUGCCGUGGGGUUAUAGACAAGUCAAAGUGUUAUGCCGACAAGAAUUGUCAAGAGGGUAUUAAGAAUGUAUGUUGUAAUAUAUCACAUCUUGCCAAAAUCCUCUAGCUUAAACAGUCAAUCCAACCAAUGAGGCCAAUACUUCUAAGAAGUGUCCCCUUUUGAUUACAUAAACAUUAUUCCAAUAUGAAAAUAUGUUGUGUACAUCCUUUUUAAA